This is a long non-coding RNA of Helianthus annuus (common sunflower), 1520 nucleotides long. RefSeq lists it as uncharacterized. Lineage: Eukaryota; Viridiplantae; Streptophyta; Magnoliopsida; Asterales; Asteraceae. The record is from RefSeq and is a predicted model, not a curated record. The transcript is spliced from 5 exons.
GAUAGAGAGAGAAAGAGUUUUAGAGAGAGAAGCAUAAAGAGAGGGAGGCGAUCAGAGAUGAGAUACAAAAGGAGGUCGGCCAUGGCCUAUCGGAACUAAAUCAACGUCCUCACAGGAAGCUUUUCAUGAUUUCAUCUUGGAUUUCAAAAGUGGUGGUUUUCGUGGAUUAAACAGUCACGACGGCUAGGGUUUUCGCCGUUUUUGUUAUCCCUCAUGUGCUCUUUCUCUUUCUCUCUCUCUUCCGCUAAAUAUUUGCCCCUAUCAUCAUCAGUCGUUUGCCGGGUUCGAUUACGGAACCCUUGGUGGCGAUGGACGUGGUCGCUGUUAAAGCUGGGGUGUAGUGGCGGUGGUUAGUGAUAGUUGCUAAAGAGGUUACGACUUUCAUCACCUUGAAGAAGAGGUCACUCUCUGUUUUCUUGCUUCAAAAUCCGGCUACGAUUGUGUUGUUGUCUUAUCUGCCUAGAUAGUAGAUGAAAUUCAAGCAGAAAUGGCGACCAAAGCAACCAUGGUGCAGUACCGAAUGGGCCUGCGAAGUUGGCAGAUUUCAUGGAAGAAGAAAGUUGCAAAGAGGGAUCCAGAUGUGGAGAGAUUUUCUUGUCUGUACACAAGUGAAGUUGGCAAUGAAUCUGGGGUAUAACCCACCGGCGAUAUACUAGAGGUCUGGUGAGGAUUUCAUUGCUGAUGAGCCAGAUGUUCUCACAAAGUAAAAAGGUCACUUAAUGGAGAAGAUUGAAAAGGAAAAUAAGUUACAUAGAGCAUUCAAUGUCUUUUUGUUCAACACAAAGUAUGAGUUACUCCUCCAGGUAGAUCAAAGUAUAUUGUAUUAUAGGUUUCAAUGAUGUUGAGUAGUGCAAGUUCAUCAUUAUUAUUUAUUUUCAUUUUGUUUGGAGGAAAAGAUAUCGUAGGCUAAAACAGAGAGGUCGUUAGAAAUAAGUGGUCAAUAUGAUAAUGGUAAACACUUUUAACUAGUUACCUUUUUUUAGCUAUUUCGCAAUAUUAAAUGGAUAUGAUUAUGUUGUUGUAAUCUUGGUAUGAAAUUGAUUAGCCAAAACUUUCCAUUUUACAGGGCAAGAAAGUCGUUUGGACAAUUGAUCUUGAAGUUUUAUUGACAUUGCAAUUAAUGUAAUAUGUUGGUUUUUGUCUAACUGUUAGGUAUUCGAGUCAAUUAUAAAUGGUGUAUAUUAUAUGUUUAUUUUUUGUCUAAUUGUUAGACGUUCAGGCCAUUUUUAUACAUGUUUUUCUUUUGAAUCAAGAACAAUGAGUUUAAAGAACUUUUAGAAUUUUUUGAAUCAAUACUAAUACUUGUUUAUAUGGUUGAUGAUCGCAUGGUAGAUAUCAUGAGAAGCUUUGGAGCUAAGUUUUAUGAUAUUGGAAUUUUCACCCAAAAAACCGUUUAGACUCCUUGUUUAAAUAUUUAGAAUUUGGAAUAUGUUAAUUGUUCACGAGGUUUUCCUAACAUUUGAAAUAUGUUUUGGAUCGAACUUAUUAUUGAAGUUAUGAUAUUAUGAAUUCUACAUUUA